GCCGGACCGAUGUGGAUCGGG
RNAcentral lists this non-coding RNA (21 nucleotides) under Arabidopsis thaliana (thale cress). Lineage: Eukaryota; Viridiplantae; Streptophyta; Magnoliopsida; Brassicales; Brassicaceae. The record is from RNAcentral.